Molecule: long non-coding RNA, 1586 nt
Organism: Ailuropoda melanoleuca (giant panda)
Lineage: Eukaryota; Metazoa; Chordata; Mammalia; Carnivora; Ursidae
Source: Ensembl
GUGGACUAAAUUUGAACAAAAUUCCCAGGCUGUAGGUACUCAACAAACACUGGACACCCUCAGAAUGUCUGAUCAACGACUGAAAGGUGGCUCACAGGGUCUCCAGGGCAGCCCUCUAGGUGGUGGUCCUGAGGGUCCCGUGAAAGGAAGAGCUCUGAAGCUGCCUGGGCCAGUGAGAGGCCACCACACCCGAGUCCCUACACGCUCUGGCGUUCCGGCCCUCGGAGUGGGCGGGAAGGAGGGCGUGACCGCCUUUUCAAGGCUGGGGCCAUCCAUGCCUAAUACCUGUGACGACAGGACUCCCGACAAGGGACGGGUACGGCGUGUGUCGGGCGAUAUCCGGGAGUUCCUAUGUGAAGGAGAAGACCUAGAAGGAGCGCCUGAGUAGCGACCUUGGGGAUGCUGCGGGAAGACUCGGCGGACCGAGCGGUUAGCCCCCCAACCCCGCGCCCCGCAGAGAGACCGAGGCGAAGGGAGCGAGCGCGCGUGCGCACUGGCGCGCGCCCCGUAGGAAAAAGCCCAGCGCGCGGUUCCGCGCGCGCGCGCGUUCGAAAGGGCGGGGGAGUCUCCCCCGCGGGUGCCCGCGGCAUUUAGGCCGGUGUUGGCCGGCGAGCGCGCGUGCGCGAGCGCGGAAAGACACCCUCCUCAGCCGCUCCCCUCCAUUGGGGGUCUAGCGCACAGCUCCGCUGUCCCCGCCUCUCCCGAGGCUCGCGCCCUCGGGGUAAGUACCUCGCGCCUGGCGGAGAGCGGGGUGAGUCCGCCGGAGGAAGGUUGGAGGCGGACAGGUCUGGGAGAAAGGGAAAAACCGCCCUCGCGGAGCGAAGAGCUCGGCUACCGGGCAGGAGUCUGCAGAAGGCACGCCUCCAUCCCUCACGCCCCUCGGGGCUGCGGAAGUACUCUGGAGACUGGAGCGGCACGGAGGCGACAGGUGGACUACCCUUCCCAGAAGGCAGCGCGGGGCUGCGCCUACUGCUCCCGGCAAUACCUGCGCGCCAGGCCUUCCCCCUCUCCCCCCCCCCCCCCCUUUGGUGCCCCCCAGGGGGCAACNGGCUUCGCGCAAAGCGGCUUGGAAGUGGGCAGCCUGGAAGUCACUCGGGCCACCCGAGCUGGCGGCGUCUCUAGCGAACGGCGCGGGGCCGGACGCCGCGGUCGUGGGGCCCGCAGGGCGGGCAGCAGGGACGCCCAGCUGCACAGUCUUUGACAUCAGCUCUCCUGGGACCCUCAAGGAGCACUAGUGUCCGGAACAUACGGAGCGCAGACUGCAGGACAGAGAGACAGCAGUCCAGCCUCUACCUACAGGACUCACAGGGGGCAGAGGAACGUGUUUAAUGACAUCACAAGGGAAAAGGCAGCCAGAUCCUGAAAGUGGAAAACUCCAUGGGAUGAGUGACCUCAUUCCUUCCACAAGUGAACAGCAUCACAAUAAAGGUGAUGGGCGUAAGGGAGACAUUAUAGAAGAGACUUAAGAAAUGUAUCUGCCAAAGUAGAGUAGGGAUCUUGUUUGGAUCCUGAUUUGAACAAACCAACUCUAAAAGACACCUUUGAGACAAUGGGGGAAAUGUAAUGCAGAUAUGGGUAUUACAUAA